CUUUGGCCUCUGCUGCUUCUGCUAUUCACUGGUUGCACACUUGAACCUUGGAAGGCUGUCUGCACCUCCACUUGGCUUAGCGUAAGCUUUUCCUUCGUCAGCUGUUUUAGCGAAAAACGGUCUAGUCCACCUAUACGACACCGUUUUUACUCGUUACAAACAGAGCGGAGGCUGAGCCUUCGCUUCUCAGUCCACAGAGCAGAGCAGCCCACUUUUGUUUUGCAUACUCUUUCUCGGGCUUUGCUAGUCAAGUCUUGUGUCGUUGAAAGACGAUUAGGAGUUAGCUUGAAACCUCCAUUCUCUGCCUGUAGCUGUGGUUUUGUUUAACAGAUAUUGUGUUUUUGGGAAAGAUGAAGAAAAUGAUAGCCUUAGGAUUCGAGGGUUCGGCCAACAAGAUUGGAGUUGGAGUUGUGACCUUAGAUGGGACGAUUUUAUCAAACCCGAGGCAUACUUACAUCACCCCUCCUGGCCAAGGAUUCUUGCCUCGUGAAACUGCCCAACAUCAUUUGCA
RNAcentral lists this unclassified non-coding RNA (511 nucleotides) under Hevea brasiliensis (rubber tree). The record is from RNAcentral. Lineage: Eukaryota; Viridiplantae; Streptophyta; Magnoliopsida; Malpighiales; Euphorbiaceae.